RNAcentral lists this ribosomal RNA (920 nucleotides) under uncultured bacterium. RNAcentral's name for it is "bacterial SSU rRNA". It matches the Rfam family "Bacterial small subunit ribosomal RNA", at positions 74 to 990 of the family's 1533-position model. The record is from RNAcentral.
AGUAGCUUGCUACUGGACCUAGCGGCGGACGGGUGAGUAAUGCUUAGGAAUCUGCCUAUUAGUGGGGGACAACAUCUCGAAAGGGAUGCUAAUACCGCAUACGUCCUACGGGAGAAAGCAGGGGACCUUCGGGCCUUGCGCUAAUAGAUGAGCCUAAGUCGGAUUAGCUAGUUGGUGGGGUAAAGGCCUACCAAGGCGACGAUCUGUAGCGGGUCUGAGAGGAUGAUCCGCCACACUGGGACUGAGACACGGCCCAGACUCCUACGGGAGGCAGCAGUGGGGAAUAUUGGACAAUGGGGGGAACCCUGAUCCAGCCAUGCCGCGUGUGUGAAGAAGGCCUUUUGGUUGUAAAGCACUUUAAGCGAGGAGGAGGCUACCGAGAUUAAUACUCUUGGAUAGAGGACGUUACUCGCAGAAUAAGCACCGGCUAACUCUGUGCCAGCAGCCGCGGUAAUACAGAGGGUGCAAGCGUUAAUCGGAUUUACUGGGCGUAAAGCGCGCGUAGGUGGCCAAUUAAGUCAAAUGUGAAAUCCCCGAGCUUAACUUGGGAAUUGCAUUCGAUACUGGUUGGCUAGAGUAUGGGAGAGGAUGGUAGAAUUCCAGGUGUAGCGGUGAAAUGCAUAGAGAUCUGGAGGAAUACCGAUGGCGAAGGCAGCCAUCUGGCCUAAUACUGACACUGAGGUGCGAAAGCAUGGGGAGCAAACAGGAUUAGAUACCCUGGUAGUCCAUGCCGUAAACGAUGUCUACUAGCCGUUGGGGCCUUUGAGGCUUUAGUGGCGCAGCUAACGCGAUAAGUAGACCGCCUGGGGAGUACGGUCGCAAGACUAAAACUCAAAUGAAUUGACGGGGGCCCGCACAAGCGGUGGAGCAUGUGGUUUAAUUCGAUGCAACGCGAAGAACCUUACCUGUCUUGACAUAGU